Molecule: non-coding RNA, 29 nt
Filed under: Rattus norvegicus (Norway rat)
Lineage: Eukaryota; Metazoa; Chordata; Mammalia; Rodentia; Muridae
Source: RNAcentral
UACUUUGCAGAACUAUGGUGAGCCGGUCC